UAGAAAAACAGAGAACACCCUUACCAGGCAUAAGGGAUGAACUUAAAAAGUAUUACAUAGUUAAUAAUUCAAGAGUAACGUAUAACUAAAGAUAAUAAAAAAAAAAAAAAUGUUUAAAUUAUCGUUAUUGUGUAAGUAAUUGAGUGGGUUACGAUAAAAAAAAUCACCCUAUAUAUUUGGAUGUCAAUAAUUUGUAUGGUUGGAGUAUGUCUCAACAUAUGCCGUAUGGUAACUUUAAGUAGUUAGACGUGGACAACGAAUCAAAAAUUUUAAAGACAGUAGAAGAGUUACCUGCGGAUUCUCCUGUAGGAAUGGUUCUUGAAGUGACGGUGUAAUACCCGAAAGGGUUACAUGAUGCCCACAACGAAAUACCGUUUUUACCUGAACGAAAAUGUCCGCCUAAUUCACGGGUCAAAAAACUGUUGUUUACUUUCGAUCAGAAAGAAAACUACGUUGUACAUUAUCUAAAUUUAAAACGGCCUAUGGCGAACGGAUUAAAAGUAGAAAAAGUGCAUAAGUUGUUACAAUAUAAGCAGUUUACAUGGCUAUCAAAAUAUAUACAACUCAACACGGAGAUGAGACAGAGUGUCAAAAAUAAUUUCGAAAAAGACUUUUUUAUAUUAAUGAACAACGCUGUUUUUAGCAAAAUGAACAAUUUAGAACGCAAAUGGAAUUGGUCAAUAAUCCUAAACGAGCGGUUAAAUUAAUUAAAAAACAUAAUUUCAAACAUUGUACAACUUAUAGAAAAAAUUUAUCGGCGUUUGUAUUGGAAAAGAAAAUUAUCAUGGGGCAUAUUAUGUUCAGGAAAUAGGAAGAUAUAAAACUGAUCAUUAUAUAUUCUAAUUAUU
Daktulosphaira vitifoliae (grape phylloxera) is the source of this 848-nucleotide long non-coding RNA. RefSeq lists it as uncharacterized. The record is from RefSeq and is a predicted model, not a curated record. The transcript is spliced from 3 exons. NCBI's taxonomy places the organism in Eukaryota, Metazoa, Arthropoda, Insecta, Hemiptera, Phylloxeridae.